GUGGGGAAUAUUGGACAAUGGGCGAAAGCCUGAUCCAGCCAUGCCGCGUGAGUGAUGAAGGCCUUAGGGUUGUAAAGCUCUUUUGUCCGGGAAGAUAAUGACUGUACCGGAAGAAUAAGCCCCGGCUAACUUCGUGCCAGCAGCCGCGGUAAUACGAAGGGGGCUAGCGUUGCUCGGAAUCACUGGGCGUAAAGGGCGCGUAGGCGGACUUUUAAGUCGGAGGUGAAAGCCCAGGGCUCAACCCUGGAAUUGCCUUCGAUACUGGGAGUCUUGAGUUCGGAAGAGGUUGGUGGAACUGCGAGUGUAGAGGUGAAAUUCGUAGAUAUUCGCAAGAACACCGGUGGCGAAGGCGGCCAACUGGUCCGAAACUGACGCUGAGGCGCGAAAGCGUGGGGAGCAAACAGGAUUAGAUACCCGGGUAGUCC
Molecule: ribosomal RNA, 425 nt
Filed under: uncultured bacterium
Lineage: Bacteria
Description: partial 16S ribosomal RNA
Rfam family: Bacterial small subunit ribosomal RNA
Source: RNAcentral